RNAcentral lists this ribosomal RNA (382 nucleotides) under uncultured bacterium. Its description in RNAcentral is "bacterial SSU rRNA". It matches the Rfam family "Bacterial small subunit ribosomal RNA", at positions 9 to 370 of the family's 1533-position model. The record is from RNAcentral.
GAGUUUGAUCUUGGCUCAGGAUGAACGCUGGCGGCGUGCCUAACACAUGCAAGUCGAACGGGGUUAUUUAGGAAAGUUCUUUCGGGAGCUGGAAUCUAUAACCUAGUGGCGGACGGGUGAGUAACGCGUGAGCAAUCUACCUUUAAGAGGGGGAUAACAGUCGGAAACGGCUGCUAAUACCGCAUAAAGCAUUGAGAUCGCAUGGUCAUGAUGCCAAAGGAGCAAUCCGCUUUUAGAUGAGCUCGCGUCUGAUUAGCUAGUUGGCGGGGUAACGGCCCACCAGGGCAACGAUCAGUAGCCGGACUGAGAGGUUGAACGGCCACAUUGGGACUGAGACACGGCCCAGACUCCUACGGGAGGCAGCAGUGGGGAAUAUUGCGCA